This 64-nucleotide transfer RNA is filed under the name Cucujoidea sp. 22 KM-2017. RNAcentral's name for it is "tRNA-Arg". The record is from RNAcentral. Lineage: Eukaryota; Metazoa; Arthropoda; Insecta; Coleoptera.
AAAUAUGAAGCAAUAAAGCAUUUAGUUUCGACCUAAAAUUUUGAUUUUAAAUAAUCCAUAUUUA